GCUUUCGUGUUGUAAUGGCCAGCAAACUCGGCUCGUAUUCGAGAGCUCCUAGGUUCGAGUCUCGGCAAGGGCA
This 73-nucleotide transfer RNA is filed under the name Stegodyphus mimosarum. It matches the Rfam family "tRNA". From Rfam's summary of the family: Transfer RNA (tRNA) molecules are approximately 80 nucleotides in length. Their secondary structure includes four short double-helical elements and three loops (D, anti-codon, and T loops). The record is from Rfam by way of RNAcentral. Lineage: Eukaryota; Metazoa; Arthropoda; Arachnida; Araneae; Eresidae.